UUAUUUUCUCUUAUUUUCUCUGCUCUCUUUCUCUUCUAAGUGAAAAAUUCUGCAACUGAAAUGAAAAACAACCUACGUUUUAAACGUUUUGCAGACGAUCAAUGGUGGAGAUCAUGGAUUGAGUUGGUUUCUUUUCACUUCCUCGAUUAGGUAUGCAAGAUUUCUCAUCUCUACAACUGAAUCUUUUCUAAAUGGUAUAAAUAUUUCCCAUUACAUAACAAUUACGAACCUAACGAAAAUUCAUAAAACCCAUCCCUACAACUGAAUCUCUUCUAAACAACGAAAAUUCAUAAUACCCAUCCCUGCAACUGAAUCAAUCACGGAGAUGAAGUAUUGAGUUGGUUGUUUUUCACUUCCUCGAUUAGGUAUCCAGAUGAGGAAGUUGGUGAAGUGGCCAUAUGCGUAAGCUUCAUGGUAACAGGGGAUUUUACAGAUCACUAAUAUUGAGAAGAUUAUUAUGAAGUAAAGCUUACAGCGAUAGAACUUUUGGGAAAUCUAUCUGAAGCAAAAUUUGUAAAGCAUAUCAUGAUUUUGUUGAUGUAAGCAAGUCUGUGUGCUCCAUGUCAAACUUAGGUUUGCCGUUCAUCUGUUAACGAAAUCAUGAUAUGAUUUAUUUGUAUUUGCAAUGGAAGACCAACAAGAUUGUAAUUGAGAAAGGGGUCGUGUUCCUAUUAAACAUCAGCGAAAAAUGACAGAGGAGCAGAGAUUGCAACGAAAUGAGUGUAGGCGAAAUCAGUAUAGAGCUAGGCGGCAAAAUGGGCAUGGACAGUUGUAUGUUGCUUUUUCCAGGGGAGUCUCAAGAACCACAACAAAAGUAUUAGUUAAGAAUGGGGCUCUUCCAGAUAUUGCUGGAAGGUGUACCAGAAAUGUUGUUUUUCAAGAGGUCCUGAAAUCAUGUAAUAGUGUUGGGUGAUGUAUUUCUGAUUGAUUUAAUUCUAAAUAAAAAGAAAUAAAUAUUUAAUGUUGGUAUCUUCCUGAGAAA
This is a long non-coding RNA of Papaver somniferum (opium poppy), 982 nucleotides long. RefSeq lists it as uncharacterized. The transcript has 3 exons. The record is from RefSeq and is a predicted model, not a curated record. NCBI's taxonomy places the organism in Eukaryota, Viridiplantae, Streptophyta, Magnoliopsida, Ranunculales, Papaveraceae.